Molecule: ribosomal RNA, 843 nt
Filed under: Rhizoctonia solani AG-6
Lineage: Eukaryota; Fungi; Basidiomycota; Agaricomycetes; Cantharellales; Ceratobasidiaceae
Description: partial large subunit ribosomal RNA
Rfam family: Eukaryotic large subunit ribosomal RNA
Source: RNAcentral
UCAAUAAGCGGAGGAAAAGAAACUAACAAGGAUUCCCCUAGUAACGGCGAGUGAAGCGGGAAGAGCUCAAAUUUAAAAUCUGGCAGUGUAUUCUGUCCGAGUUGUAGUCUAGAGAAGCAUCAUCCGUGCUGGACCAUGUACAAGUCUCUUGGAACAGAGCGUCAUAGAGGGUGAGAAUCCCGUCCUUGACAUGGACUCCCAGUGCUUUGUGUUGUGCUCUCAACGAGUCGAGUUGUUUGGGAAUGCAGCUCAAAAUGGGUGGUAAAUUCCAUCUAAAGCUAAAUAUUGGCGAGAGACCGAUAGCGAACAAGUACCGUGAGGGAAAGAUGAAAAGCACUUUGGAGAGAGAGUUAAACAGUACGUGAAAUUGUUGAAAUGGAAACGCUUGAAGUCAGUCGCGUUCUCUGGGAUUCAGCCUUGCUUCUGCUUGGUGCAUUUCCUAGUCUACGGGCCAGCAUGAGUUUUGACCGGUGGAAAAAGAUCUGGGGAAUGUGGCACCUUCGGGUGUGUUAUAGCCCCUUGUCACAUACACCGGUUGGGAUUGAGGUCUUAGUGCACGCUUCGGUUGUGCUUUGAUGCUGGCGUAAUGGCUUUAAACGACCCGUCUUGAAACACGGACCAAGGAGUCUAACAUGUCUGCAAGUGUUUGGGUGCAAAACCCGAGCGCGUAAUGAAAGUGAUAGUUGGGAACCUCUUCAGAGGGGCACCGACGCCCGGACCAGACCUUCUGUGACGGAUCCGAGGUAGAGCAUAUAUGUUGGGACCCGAAAGAUGGUGAACUAUGCCUGCAUAGGGUGAAGCCAGAGGAAACUCUGGUGGAGGCUCGUAGCGAUUCUGACGUGC